Molecule: transfer RNA, 89 nt
Filed under: Staphylococcus aureus
Lineage: Bacteria; Bacillati; Bacillota; Bacilli; Caryophanales; Staphylococcaceae
Description: tRNA-Ser
Rfam family: tRNA
About the family: Transfer RNA (tRNA) molecules are approximately 80 nucleotides in length. Their secondary structure includes four short double-helical elements and three loops (D, anti-codon, and T loops). Further hydrogen bonds mediate the characteristic L-shaped molecular structure. tRNAs have two regions of fundamental functional importance: the anti-codon, which is responsible for specific mRNA codon recognition, and the 3' end, to which the tRNAs corresponding amino acid is attached (by aminoacyl-tRNA synthetases). tRNAs cope with the degeneracy of the genetic code in two manners: having more than one tRNA (with a specific anti-codon) for a particular amino acid; and 'wobble' base-pairing, i.e. permitting non-standard base-pairing at the 3rd anti-codon position.
Source: RNAcentral
GGAAGGUUGUCCGAGCUGGCCGAAGGAGCACGCCUGGAAAGUGUGUAGGCGUCACAAGCGUCUCAAGGGUUCGAAUCCCUUACCUUCUG